Trichonephila clavata is the source of this 74-nucleotide non-coding RNA. Lineage: Eukaryota; Metazoa; Arthropoda; Arachnida; Araneae; Nephilidae. The record is from the annotation of a GenBank genome assembly.
AUGUCUGUAGCGCAAUGGAUAGCGUGUUGGAUUUCUAAUCCAAAGGUCAUGGGUUCGAAUACCCCUGGGAUAGG